CCAACCCUGUGUCUACUGUACCUUGUCGUUGCUUCGGCGGACCGGUUGACCAACUGGUCUUGA
RNAcentral lists this ribosomal RNA (63 nucleotides) under [Coniosporium] sp. SL1131. RNAcentral's name for it is "Coniosporium sp. SL1131 partial 18S ribosomal RNA". Lineage: Eukaryota; Fungi; Ascomycota; Eurotiomycetes; Chaetothyriales; Herpotrichiellaceae. The record is from RNAcentral.